UGGGGAAUUUUGGACAAUGGGCGAAAGCCUGAUCCAGCAAUGCCGCGUGUGUGAAGAAGGCCUUCGGGUUGUAAAGCACUUUUGUCCGGAAAGAAAUCCUCUGGGUUAAUACCUCGGGGGGUAUGACGGUACCGGGAGAAUAAGCACCGGCUAACUACGUGCCAGCAGCCGCGGUAAUACGUAGGGUGCAAGCGUUAAUCGGAAUUACUGGGCGUAAAGCGUGCGCAGGCGGUUUUGUAAGACGGAUGUGAAAUCCCCGGGCUUAACCUGGGAACUGCAUUCGUGACUGCAAGGCUAGAGUAUGGCAGAGGGGGGUUAGAAUUCCACGUGUGAGCAGUGAAAUGCGUAGAGAUGUGGAGGAAUACCGAUGGCGAAGGCAGCCCCCUGGGCCAAUACUGACGCUCAUGCACGAAAGCGUGGGGAGCAAACAGGAUUCAGAUACCCUGGUAGUCCACGCCCUAAACGAUGUC
This 470-nucleotide ribosomal RNA is filed under the name uncultured bacterium. RNAcentral's name for it is "partial 16S ribosomal RNA". It matches the Rfam family "Bacterial small subunit ribosomal RNA", at positions 355 to 813 of the family's 1533-position model. The record is from RNAcentral.